Molecule: non-coding RNA, 496 nt
Organism: Heterocephalus glaber (naked mole-rat)
Lineage: Eukaryota; Metazoa; Chordata; Mammalia; Rodentia; Bathyergidae
Source: RefSeq, a predicted model, not a curated record
UGAAGACAGAAAGGUGACCACUGGAUAUGGCACAGUGGAGACUACUGGAACUUUGAUAGGCACAGUUUCAGUGUCAUGAUAGAGCAGAUGCCUGGUGGAGCAAGUGGAGACAGCAGGAACACACAUGUUGUUCACAAAAAUCUACUGUGGGAAGGAUGACAUUAGAAGGCCAUCUUAUUAUUCUUACGACACAAGGCCAACCCAAGACACCACAUCAGGCUCAUCCAAAAUCCUGCUGAAGCUUCUCGCUUUUUCCUGAGGUGAAGGAGUGAGAGUGGGUGACAGUGAUUGCAAGCAACAGUUCAAACCAACUCCUUUACCAAUCAUCUUUUUCACAUUCUCUAAAAUUUGUUUACCCUUACUGCUGUUUAAGAGAUUAAGACUCAUGGAACUGAUCAUUGAGCACUUCCUUUGUAAAUUCUGUGCACAGGGAUUUGUCUCACAGUCAUGGUCUGUGAUAUGAUUCUACGGCAAUGCUAUGGAAUGUUGGCAAGAA